Molecule: ribosomal RNA, 299 nt
Filed under: uncultured bacterium
Lineage: Bacteria
Description: partial 16S ribosomal RNA
Rfam family: Bacterial small subunit ribosomal RNA
Source: RNAcentral
GCCUACGGGGGGCAGCAGUGAGGAAUAUCGGUCAAUGGGCGCGAGCCUGAACCAGCCAAGUCGCGUGAGGGAAGACGGUCCUAUGGAUUGUAAACCUCUUUUGUCGGGGAGCAAAAGACGCCACGCGUGGCGUUCCGAGAGUACCCGAAGAAAAAGCAUCGGCUAACUCCGUGCCAGCAGCCGCGGUAAUACGGAGGAUGCGAGCGUUAUCCGGAUUUAUUGGGUUUAAAGGGUGCGUAGGCGGACUGUCAAGUCAGCGGUAAGAUACGGGGGCUCAACCUCCUCCCGCCGUUUAAACU